This 279-nucleotide ribosomal RNA is filed under the name uncultured bacterium. Its description in RNAcentral is "partial 16S ribosomal RNA". It matches the Rfam family "Bacterial small subunit ribosomal RNA", at positions 506 to 784 of the family's 1533-position model. The record is from RNAcentral.
UGCUAGCCGCCGCGGUAAUACGGAGGGGGGUAGGGUUGUUCGGAAUUACUGGGCGUAAAGCGCACGUAGGCGGAUUAGUAAGUUAGGGGUGAAAUCCCGGGGCUUAACCCCGGAACUGCCCUCAAAACUGUCGAUCUAGAGACCGGGAGAGGUAAGCGGAAUACCGAGUGUAGAGGUGAAAUUCGUAGAUAUUCGGUGGAACACCAGUGGCGAAGGCGGCUAACUGGACUGAUACUGACGCUGAGGUGCGAAAGUGUGGGGAGCAAACAGGAUUAGAUA